This is a small nucleolar RNA of Coregonus clupeaformis (lake whitefish), 147 nucleotides long. RefSeq annotates it as small nucleolar RNA SNORA81. The record is from RefSeq and is a predicted model, not a curated record. Lineage: Eukaryota; Metazoa; Chordata; Actinopteri; Salmoniformes; Salmonidae. The transcript has a single exon.
ACUUCCACAUGAAAUAACUGCUAAAAUUGCAGAUGCCAGGUUAGCUUGGUUUAAGCAGUAAUGCUAGCAGAGUAUUGCGUGGGUAUGAGUCGUGGUCGAACCUCUUAAUGUUCGUUGUCGUCUGUCUCGAGGCCCAGUGCAACAAUU